CGCGUGCACAAACGGUCAAAAGCCGCGCGGCGCGUUUGCAACAUUCUGUAACUUUCCCGGGAGGGCGGUUCCUCUGCCUCUCUGCAGCAAGAUGGGGACAGGAGCCCGCGACCCUGAGGAUUGCCACUGCUUGCAAACAGGCUGCAGUGUUGCUGUGAACAUGGGAGCGCAGAUGGUUUCACUCCUGGUUUCUGUUGUUUUGCAGAAGUACCCAGAAAGGUGUUUCAUUCCUUGACUUAAAGAAACUGAACAGUAGAAGAAAGAACACUGGGUGGCAGAUGGGGCCACAAUGAAGUACAGGAGGAGGUGUCCCUGCGAAGUCAGCAUCAGCCCCAGAUCACCCUACGAGCCGCUCUUGACAUACAUACUGAAUCGGAAUAGUCCUUGUGAUCUCUGAACUUUUGAAUUCUCUCCAAAUUGAAGCGGAGGCAGCAGUUAUCUGGAACAACGAGUUAAGAGAAAUACGUACUAAAUCAGACAGCCAGUAUUUGGGGGUCAGUAAUAUGUUUCUAAGAUGCUCACAAGAUUUGGAAACCAGCGAGCAAAUCGGCUGAAAUCAAGCAAUGCCAAUCGGCGAGAGAACACCAUGAGGCCCCUGCUAAAGCAAAGUGGCCAUUCUUUCUGACUUUGCAGCCAUCCAC
This is a long non-coding RNA of Cavia porcellus (domestic guinea pig), 641 nucleotides long. RefSeq lists it as uncharacterized. The record is from RefSeq and is a predicted model, not a curated record. The transcript is spliced from 4 exons. Lineage: Eukaryota; Metazoa; Chordata; Mammalia; Rodentia; Caviidae.